GUGCCAGCAGCCGCGGUAAUACGGAGGGUGCAAGCGUUAUCCGGAUUCACUGGGUUUAAAGGGUGCGUAGGCGGGCAUUUAAGUCAGUGGUGAAAUACCUGAGCUUAACUUGGGAACUGCCAUUGAUACUAUUUGUCUUGAAUGUCGUGGAGGUUAGCGGAAUAUGUCAUGUAGCGGUGAAAUGCUUAGAUAUGACAUAGAACACCUAUUGCGAAGGCAGCUAACUACGCGAAUAUUGACGCUGAGGCACGAAAGCGUGGGGAUCAAACAGGAUUAGAUACCCUGGUAGUCC
Molecule: ribosomal RNA, 292 nt
Filed under: uncultured bacterium
Lineage: Bacteria
Description: partial 16S ribosomal RNA
Rfam family: Bacterial small subunit ribosomal RNA
Source: RNAcentral